CUUGCAAACCAAAGCUGGCGACCGGCGCACGGGUGAGUAACACGUAUCCAACCUGCCGAUAACUCGGGGAUAGCCUUUCGAAAGAAAGAUUAAUACCCGAUGGUAUAAUAAAACCGCAUGGUUUAAUUAUUAAAGAAUUUCGGUUAUCGAUGGGGAUGCGUUCCAUUAGGCAGUUGGUGAGGUAACGGCUCACCAAACCUUCGAUGGAUAGGGGUUCUGAGAGGAAGGUCCCCCACAUUGGAACUGAGACACGGUCCAA
RNAcentral lists this ribosomal RNA (259 nucleotides) under uncultured bacterium. Its description in RNAcentral is "partial 16S ribosomal RNA". It matches the Rfam family "Bacterial small subunit ribosomal RNA", at positions 74 to 334 of the family's 1533-position model. The record is from RNAcentral.